GAUGAACGCUAGCGAUAGGCUUAACACAUGCAAGUCGAGGGGCAUCACGAAUUAGCAAUAGUUUGGUGGCGACCGGCGCACGGGUGCGUAACACGUAUACAACCUACCUUCAAUUGGGGGAUAACCUGGAGAAAUUCGGACUAAUACCCCAUAGUAAACGGAAGAGGCAUCUUUUUUGUUUUAAAGAUUUAUUGAUUGGAGAUGGGUAUGCGUAGGAUUAGCUAGUUGGUAAGGUAACGGCUUACCAAGGCGACGAUCCUUAGGGGUUCUGAGAGGAAGGUCCCCCACACUGGUACUGAGACACGGACCAGACUCCUACGGGAGGCAGCAGUGAGGAAUAUUGGUCAAUGGUCGAGAGACUGAACCAGCCAAGUCGCGUGAAGGAAGACGGCUCUAUGAGUUGUAAACUUCUUUUGUACAGGAGUAAAGUGAGACACGCGUGUUUUAUUGCAAGUACUGUACGAAUAAGCAUCGGCUAACUCCGUGCCAGCAGCCGCGGUAAUACGGAGGAUGCAAGCGUUAUCCGGAUUUAUUGGGUUUAAAGGGUGCGUAGGCGGUAUUACAAGUCAGGGGUGAAAUCUUGGUGCUUAACAUUAAAAUUGCCUUUGAAACUGUGGUACUUGAGUGUAAAAGAGGUAGGCGGAAUGUGUUGUGUAGCGGUGAAAUGCAUAGAUAUAACACAGAACCCCGAUUGCGAAGGCAGCUUACUAUCAUACAACUGACGCUGAUGCACGAAAGCGUGGGGAUCAAACAGGAUUAGAUACCCUGGUAGUCCACGCAGUAAACGAUGAUUACUAGCUGUUAGCGAUAUACUGUUAGUGGCUAAGCGAAAGCGAUAAGUAAUCCACCUGGGGAGUACGUUCGCAAGAAUGAAACUCAAAGGAAUUGACGGGGGCCCGCACAAGCGGAGGAACAUGUGGUUUAAUUCGAUGAUACGCGAGGAACCUUACCCGGGCCUGAAAAUGCUAUCGACCGACGGAGAGAUUCGUUAUCCAGCAAAUGCGAUAGUGUAGGUGCUGCAUGGUUGUCGUCAGCUCGUGCCGUGAGGUGUCGGCUUUAGUGCCAUAACGAGCGCACCCCUGCCCAUUAGUUACCAGCG
RNAcentral lists this ribosomal RNA (1099 nucleotides) under Bacteroidetes bacterium oral taxon 274. RNAcentral describes it as "bacterial SSU rRNA". It matches the Rfam family "Bacterial small subunit ribosomal RNA", at positions 28 to 1123 of the family's 1533-position model. The record is from RNAcentral. Lineage: Bacteria; Pseudomonadati; Bacteroidota.